Molecule: non-coding RNA, 1018 nt
Organism: Doryrhamphus excisus (bluestripe pipefish)
Lineage: Eukaryota; Metazoa; Chordata; Actinopteri; Syngnathiformes; Syngnathidae
Source: RefSeq, a predicted model, not a curated record
UUUAGUCCAGCUUGUGUCUCCAGCUAAACACCGGAUUGUUUGGUUGUUGUUGGUUUGAUGCUACAAGUUCCACCACUUAAUGCUUUUUUUGCUUUGCGUGGAACCUUUGUGUUUUCCAUUGUUUCCUGCCUGCUCUUUGCAUUUCGUCUGCAUUCUGCAAGACAAGCUAACUGCUGCUCAUGGCUGAACUUCAAAGUUAUUGACUGGCAACGGAAUGGGCAGAAAAAAGCUUUCCGUUUCCUCGAAUGCAGAGGAGGAGGAGGACGUGGAAGAGUUCCAGUAACCAGGGUCGCAAGAGGAUUUUGGAGCCUAUCCCAGCUGACUUUGGGGGGUACACCCUGGACUGGUCGCCAGCCAAUCACAGGUCACAUAUAGACAAACAACCAUUCACACUCACAUUCAUACCUAUGGAUAAUUUAGAGUCGCCAAUUACUCACUUUAUGUCAAUCCUUCAAUGUUAUUCCUCUGUGCUACACUGCCCAUUACAAUUACAUGCAAAUGUAAAUACAUCAAUGGCAAUUAUAUAGUAAGUUAUACAAUAACGACAUCUACCCUCCCUAGCGACAUUUAUUAAAGGGAUAGUUAGGAUUUUUUGACAUGUUGUAUGACAUCAGUGUAGUGCAUCAAUGUUGACAUACCCCACACCUCCUCCUGUGAGCUGAGUUCUGGGCGGAUUUCAGUGAUGAGGUUAGUUGGUGGGGCGGCUUAAAUAAAAAGUUUGGCUUCUCUAGACAAUAUGUUGAGUAAAAUGAUGAUAUAUGUUGAGUAUAUUAUAUAAAUAAUAUUUGCCUACAAAAAUGCCUCCUUGAAAAAAGUAAACCUCACAAUCGCUGAGCUUUACUGCGCGUCCAUUGUUGGGUAUGUGUUCCACAUUGUUGACAUGCUUGGAUUUGGCAAUAUAUUAAUCCAGAGAAAUCGCUUAAUUACGCAGAUCGCUGUAUGCACAUUGUUUCAUAAGGUCCGUUCCGCGGGCCGGAUGCAAUUGCAGCGCCAGCCUGAUUUGGCCCCCGGGUCUGAG